RNAcentral lists this ribosomal RNA (407 nucleotides) under uncultured beta proteobacterium. Its description in RNAcentral is "bacterial SSU rRNA". It matches the Rfam family "Bacterial small subunit ribosomal RNA", at positions 9 to 418 of the family's 1533-position model. The record is from RNAcentral. Lineage: Bacteria; Pseudomonadati; Pseudomonadota; Betaproteobacteria.
GAGUUUGAUCAUGGCUCAGAUUGAACGCUGGCGGCAUGCCUUACACAUUCAAGUCGAGCGGCAGCGCGGGGGCAACCCUGGCGGCGAGCGGCGAACGGGUGAGUAAUACAUCGGAACGUGUCCUGUCGUGGGGGAUAACCAGUCGAAAGAUUGGCUAAUACCGCAUGACCUCGUAAGAGAAAAGCGGGGGACCGUAAGGCCUCGCGCGACUGGAGCGGCCGAUGUCGGAUUAGCUAGUUGGCGGGGUAAAAGCCCACCAAGGCGACGAUCCGUAGCUGGUUUGAGAGAACGACCAGCCACACUGGGACUGAGACACGGCCCAGACUCCUACGGGAGGCAGCAGUAGGGAAUUUUGGACAAUGGGGGCAACCCUGAUCCAGCCAUGCCGCGUGUGUGAAGAAGGCCUU